Molecule: long non-coding RNA, 666 nt
Filed under: Helianthus annuus (common sunflower)
Lineage: Eukaryota; Viridiplantae; Streptophyta; Magnoliopsida; Asterales; Asteraceae
Description: hypothetical non coding rna
Source: RNAcentral
UACCACUCACUGAUGAUAUUGUGAUAUCAGGAGGCCUGAUUUCGUCAAUACCAGAAGAUAAAGCAGUGGCCAUCUUAUCUGCGGCUGCAGUCGAUCUGUGGAAUGUUGUACGGCUCAAGUCCGACGUAGCGACAUUCCUCCGUCGUGCGCCCCAGACUUAUCUUACCCUGCAACAAUGAAAUCGUGAACCGUUUCCCGUCGACACAUCACCAUGACAUCACCAUGAUGAUGUCAUGUGAAGACUUAUCUUACCCUGCAACAAUGAAAUCGUUGAAUCUGUCAUCAUGCAAUUAGAAUUCACAUACUAUUGGGCCAGUACUUGUUAAUAUAUUUGGAUUGGGCAUGCCUUUGAGAAAGACUUAAUAGAGCCCAUCAAAGACUACAUGUUGACGAAGAUUCAAUGAAGACUGAUGAAGAAUGAAGGUUCGCUGGUAUAAUGUUCGUCAAAGAUGUGAAAGUGACGAAGUUUGACAUCUUCGUCACUUUGAUUGUUCGUCAGACCUGAUGUCGACAAAGAGUGAAUCUUCGUCGACUUCCUGAUAGUUUGUCGCCCAUAUGUUAAGUUCAUCGACCUGUUUGGCUAUAUAAACAGAACGCAAGGGUUUGAAGAAGGUGAUAGAGAGAAAACAGAGAGUUUAGUUGUAAUUCGUAUUGUAUGAUUCUGUA